GAUGAACGCUGGCGGCGUGCCUAAUACAUGCAAGUCGAGCGAACAGACCAGGAUCUUGCUCCUCUGACGUUACCAACGGACGGGUGAGUAACACGUGGAUAACCUAUCUAUAAGACUUGGAUAACUUCGGGAAACCGGAGCUAAUACCGGAUAAUAUAUUGAACCGGAGGGGUCUGUAGUGAAAGAGGGUUUGGCUGUCACUUAUAGAUGUAUCCGCUCCGCAGUAGCUAAUUGGUAAGGUAACGGCUUACCAAGUCAGCGAUGGGUAACCGACCUGAGAGCGGGAAGGCGCACUCUGGAGCUGAGCCACCGUCUAGGCUCCUACGGGAGGCCGAGGCAGCGAAUGGUGGGAAAAGGGGGGAAGACUGAAGAAGCGAUGCAGCGUGAGUGAUGCAGGUCUUCGGAUCGUAUGACUGUGUUAGUAGUGAAGAACAAAUGUGUACGUAACUAUGCACGGCUUGACGGUAGCUAAUAAGAAAGCAACGGCUAACUACGUG
This 497-nucleotide ribosomal RNA is filed under the name uncultured bacterium. RNAcentral's name for it is "partial 16S ribosomal RNA". It matches the Rfam family "Bacterial small subunit ribosomal RNA", at positions 28 to 507 of the family's 1533-position model. The record is from RNAcentral.